GUGGAAAUGAUGAUUAUUUCCCAAGAUUAUAGAAGUUGAUUAUACUGUGCGCAUUUAAUUAUAUUCUCUAUUACGUUAUAGAGAAUCCAAGCCAGAAAUCUCUGAUCCUAUAUCUGUUUAUGUUGAUAAAAUAUGAGUUCCUCUGAUGAUGAUUCAAAUAAAAACUUUCGUUCUUCAGAGGAUGAUAUCCGUCUAUGCAGAAACGAUUAUUGGAGACCUGAGCUGAAGAGAC
This 232-nucleotide long non-coding RNA is filed under the name Helianthus annuus (common sunflower). RNAcentral's name for it is "hypothetical non coding rna". The stretch from base 1 to 110 matches the Rfam family "Small nucleolar RNA Z103". The record is from RNAcentral. Lineage: Eukaryota; Viridiplantae; Streptophyta; Magnoliopsida; Asterales; Asteraceae.